Oncorhynchus mykiss (rainbow trout) is the source of this 580-nucleotide non-coding RNA. The record is from RefSeq and is a predicted model, not a curated record. Lineage: Eukaryota; Metazoa; Chordata; Actinopteri; Salmoniformes; Salmonidae.
UAUGCACAGUUCAGGGAAGGUGGACCACCAGUAUCUUGCUGUGACUUUUUUGAACCUUGUAGCUGUAAGCAUUUCCACUGUGACAAAGAGAAGAGGCCCAUUGACCAUUAGAGACCAGGGUGGACUUCCUUUAAAAUCCAAAACAGAGAAACAAAUAUGUAAACCAUCAGAGAGGCAACUAUAGAGCACAAAUAUUGUCAAGCAAUGGGGAAGACCACAUUGAGAACCGUAAUUGUCUGUGUAUCCACAGUGUAUAGUGCUUUAGGUUGUGUAGUGACAGGCCCAGACCAGAAGAAGGUUCCUGUGGGCUCUAAUGUUCGACUGUCCUGCGACCUCACUCAGUGUUUGAAAAGUCUGGGACAUCACCAAAUCAGUGCGGAGUGGGAGUUCAUUGACAAGGUAAAUCCCUCAAAAUAUAUAAUGUCACAACAAAUGUAGCGUUUAGGAUUGCUGGUGUAAUAUCAUGUUUUCUAAAAAGUGACAUGCAGUUGAAGUCUGAAGUUUACAUACACUUAGGUUGGAGUCAUUAAAACUCGUUUUUCAACCACUCCACAAAUGUCUUGUUAACAAACUAUAGUUU